RNAcentral lists this ribosomal RNA (253 nucleotides) under uncultured bacterium. Its description in RNAcentral is "partial 16S ribosomal RNA". It matches the Rfam family "Bacterial small subunit ribosomal RNA", at positions 524 to 776 of the family's 1533-position model. The record is from RNAcentral.
UACAGGGGGGGCAAGCGUUGUUCGGAAUUACUGGGCGUAAAGCGCGUGUAGGCAGCUUGGCAAGUCGGGUGUGAAAGCCCUGGGCUCAACCUAGGAAGUGCACUCGAAACUGCUUCGCUUGAGUAUCGGAGAGGAAAGCGGAAUUCUCGGUGUAGAGGUGAAAUUCGUAGAUAUCGAGAGGAACACCAGUGGCGAAGGCGGCUUUCUGGACGAUCACUGACGCUGAGACGCGAAAGCGUGGGGAGCAAACAGG